GCCCGCUUCUCGCAGCGGCGGUUCGGGGAGCGUGCCCGGGUGUCCCGGGGGGAACGCAGCGUGAAGGGCCGCCCGGGUUAUCGAGUUGGAAGAAGGCUGAGAUUUCAAGCUUUGAGUGACAGGCGCCUUACAAGAUUACCAUAGCUAAGCUGAGAAGCCAGUUGCAGCUCUGAGUACCAGGUUCACCGAGCUGGUGUAUGUACUGCACGUACAUGAAAGUGCACAUGUUUUUGUCAUCGCAUAGACUGACUUUCACGUAUUCCUGAGAGCUUUGCAAUUGAUGAAAAUUAAUUUAAGUACCAGAUGGAGCACCUUUACAGCACAGGAAUUGGUAAUCCAUGGAAAAACACCUGCCAGUAAUAUUCAACUUACUACAUGGUCUUCACGAGUGAAAAAAGUUUGCAAAAAAAAGAAGAAAAAACACCCUCCACACAGAAAAAGCCUAAGAAAUACCUCCACAGUCUAAAUCAGUAAUUGUGAGGGAAACAUAAGAAUACUGAGGGCAGAGGAAAGUGAUUUUGUUAUUGCAGGGGCAAAAUGUGUCGUCUUUGGCACGGUAUGCUUUGGGCUCAGUAGUUUCUGAAUGGACUAAUAAAUCGUGACUGUAUGUUGAGCGAUGAUGACUGAAAGUAAGUAAGUUGAGGAACUAUGGGACAAGUCUGGGCAUUGAACUGAAGAAUCCUCAUCAUCCUUCUUGAGUUAACCAGGUCAUCGUCUUACAUAUUCUCUCUUCCUCUCCUUUUUCCUCUUUUCACUUAGUGUGAUAUACAUACUAAUGAAUUGAGCUCAUUAAUGUUACUCAAAUAAAACGAUUGGAAUACUUCA
Non-coding RNA from Meleagris gallopavo (turkey), 825 nucleotides. The record is from RefSeq and is a predicted model, not a curated record. NCBI's taxonomy places the organism in Eukaryota, Metazoa, Chordata, Aves, Galliformes, Phasianidae.